Hyaena hyaena (striped hyena) is the source of this 104-nucleotide small nuclear RNA. NCBI's taxonomy places the organism in Eukaryota, Metazoa, Chordata, Mammalia, Carnivora, Hyaenidae. The record is from RefSeq and is a predicted model, not a curated record.
AUGCUCGCUUCGGCAGCACAUAUACUAAAACUGAAACGAUACAGAGAUUAGUAUGGCCCCUGCACAAGGAUGACACGCAAAGUCAUGAAGCAUUCCAUAUUUUU